GAUGAAGAACGCAGCGAAAUGCGAUAAGUAGUGUGAAUUGCAGAAUUCAGUGAAUCAUCGAAUCUUUGAACGCACAUUGCGCCCCUUGGUAUUCCAUGGGGCAUGCCUGUUCGAGCGUCAUUUGUACCUUCAAGCUCUGCUUGGUGUUGGGUGUUUGUCUCGCCUCUGCGCGUAGACUCGCCUCAAAACAAUUGGCAGCCGGCGUAUUGAUUUCGGAGCGCAGUACAUCUCGCGCUUUGCACUCAUAACGACGACGUCCAAAAGUACAUUUUUACACUCUUGACCUCGGAUCAGGUAGGGAUCCCCGCUGAACUUAAGCAUAUCAAUAAGCGGAGGA
RNAcentral lists this unclassified non-coding RNA (337 nucleotides) under soil metagenome. RNAcentral's name for it is "partial contains 5.8S ribosomal RNA, internal transcribed spacer 2, and large subunit ribosomal RNA". The stretch from base 1 to 120 matches the Rfam family "5.8S ribosomal RNA", at positions 35 to 154 of the family's 154-position model. The record is from RNAcentral.